CGGCCCCCACCCUCUUCCCAUCCCUGCCGGCCCCCACCCUCUCCCAAUCCCCUCACCUAAUCUCCCGUGGCCAGUGGAUUCGCCCCUUGGGGGGUCGAUUCCUCCGAGACGUCGGUCUGGAGGGCCGGCCAGGAGCGGCACGUCCCUCGUCGGCGCGUCGGUGGCGACGGCCCCACAGGUUGCUGCUCGCGGUUGGUUGCAAGGAUAGUUGUUGCGGUGGUCAAUUUCUCCUAGAAAGGUUUGUCUUCAACCUCUGGAGAUUUGUCUUUGACUAGCUCCGAGAGGUGUCACGGUCUGAGAGGAUACAGUGGGAUGGCUCCAUCUGCUAGAGUGAUUGGACCCACGAUGCAAUUGAUUUCCAAACUAAUAGAUUUGGAAACAAUAAUAGUUUUAGUUUGUUUUUAUUCAACAGUAGUUGCAUAUUCUUUCUACAAUAUGUGCUUGUAAGAAACGUUCAAACCAAAACUGGUGGCUGUAAGAAACGAGUCAUUACUUAACGAGCUAAAGGAAGCGUUAGCUGAUUGUGAAGUGAUGCCAGAAAUUAUUCCUGGGGAGCAAGGUGUCAUAGAGGUCGCUCGACACCCGGAUGCAGUUACAGUCGUUACGGGCAUAGUAGGGUGUGCAGGACUAAAGCCUACAGUUGCAGCAAUUGAAGCUGGGAAAGACAUAGCAUUGGCGAACCAAGAGACGAGCGCGCCGAGGGCGAUGACCGCUACCCUGCUCCUCUCCCGGCAAAGGCACGUCUACCUCUCCCGUGAAGAUGUAGCAGAACACACGUUCGUAAUUGAUACACCAAGGCUCAGCUUCUCUAUAUUGAUACGAAGGCCUGGAGCGUGUUUCUUUUGUUUUUUGAUGCAAUGUGAGUCGUCGGAUCUCGCUCAAGAUUGCUCUGGGCCGUUGGAUCAGAUAGAAACAACGCUAUAUCGAUUAUACAGUGGACCAGACUAUCGUGAGCAUUUUUAGCAGAAUGAUUCUUGAUAUUAUGUUGGAUCAUGUUGGAAUUCCUAGAGCUAUUUAUCGGAGAAGGAUGUACCCGCAUAGCACAAUGACUGUCACUGUGCUUUUCUACCGGAGAAAUGCACGCAUUUGAGUAUUUCUGUUAGCCAUCUUGGUUGAUUACAUCUGGUCAUUACAUUCUUCGGGAGGAGACCUUGUGUUGAGCAUGACACCCAGUCUGGCCAGCCUUGCAACUGCCAGCAACCCGAUUCAUCGACUGUACGUUGAGCCAAGCAAUGGCCUUUGUUAUGAGGAGCCUGACUGCACCGAAUAUGAUGAGUUUCCUGGCUACUAUCCAUCUGACCAUGAGGACAACAGUAGUAAUUGCUUAUCUGAGCUUGAGCUGUGAAUGCGACCGAUGUUUUGACCGCAUAAGAAGAUGAAGUUCUUUUCGUUUAUCGAGUAAUAUUAUCAUAGGUGGAUGUGAUGCCUCUAUAGAGGCGUUGUGAAUCAGUGUAGUAGCACACCACCCUUUCCUUAUUGUAAAUUAUGUGUGCUCAUCGCUAUGAGACAGGUCCUUCGGAUGGAUUUACUAAUCCAUGGUUAUUGUAUAUUAUGUUGUAGUUCCAGUGUUGGUUCUCUAAUUUACUUUCUAUACCUGUGUUAUCAUGUAUUAUUGCAUAUGCUAAACCUGGAUUUCUACUAACUUGCCAUUACCU
Molecule: non-coding RNA, 1655 nt
Organism: Triticum urartu
Lineage: Eukaryota; Viridiplantae; Streptophyta; Magnoliopsida; Poales; Poaceae
Source: RefSeq, a predicted model, not a curated record